GCCUGGGUGGCUCAGUUGGAUAAGUGUCUGACUUCAGGUCAGGUCAUGAUCUCAUGGUCUGUGGGUUCGAGUCCCGCGUCAGGCU
RNAcentral lists this transfer RNA (85 nucleotides) under Felis catus (domestic cat). It matches the Rfam family "tRNA". Rfam says of the family: Transfer RNA (tRNA) molecules are approximately 80 nucleotides in length. Lineage: Eukaryota; Metazoa; Chordata; Mammalia; Carnivora; Felidae. The record is from Rfam by way of RNAcentral.